GACGAACGCUGGCGGCGUGCCUAAUACAUGCAAGUCGAGCGAAGUUUUUCUGGUGCUUGCACUAGAAAAACUUAGCGGCGAACGGGUGAGUAACACGUAAAGAACCUGCCUCAUAGACUGGGACAACUAUUGGAAACGAUAGCUAAUACCGGAUAACAGUAUUUCUCGCAUGAGAGAUAUUUAAAAGUUGGUUAUGCUAACACUAUGAGAUGGCUUUGCGGUGCAUUAGCUAGUUGGUGGGGUAAAGGCCCACCAAGGCGACGAUGCAUAGCCGACCUGAGAGGGUGAUCGGCCACACUGGGACUGAGACACGGCCCAGACUCCUGCGGGAGGCAGCAGUAGGGAAUCUUCCGCAAUGGGCGAAAGCCUGACGGAGCAACGCCGCGUGAGUGAAGAAGGAUUUCGGUUCGUAAAGCUCUGUUGUUAGGGAAGAAUGGAUAUGUAGUAACUAUACAUAUAAGAGACGGUACCAACCA
Molecule: ribosomal RNA, 476 nt
Filed under: Gemella morbillorum
Lineage: Bacteria; Bacillati; Bacillota; Bacilli; Caryophanales; Gemellaceae
Description: bacterial SSU rRNA
Rfam family: Bacterial small subunit ribosomal RNA
Source: RNAcentral